Xenopus tropicalis (tropical clawed frog) is the source of this 95-nucleotide non-coding RNA. RefSeq annotates it as microRNA mir-219. The record is from RefSeq and is marked provisional. The transcript has a single exon. Lineage: Eukaryota; Metazoa; Chordata; Amphibia; Anura; Pipidae.
AUGGAGCUCUCGCCCUUGAUUGUCCAAACGCAAUUCUUGUUCCAAUAGAAAUAUCAAGCCAAGAAUUGUGCCUGGACAUCUGUGGCUGGUGAUCC